Molecule: ribosomal RNA, 506 nt
Filed under: uncultured bacterium
Lineage: Bacteria
Description: partial 16S ribosomal RNA
Rfam family: Bacterial small subunit ribosomal RNA
Source: RNAcentral
AGUGAACGCUGGCGGUAGGCCUAACACAUGCAAGUCGAACGGCAGCACAGGAGAGCUUGCUCUCUGGGUGGCGAGUGGCGGACGGGUGAGAAAUACAUCGGAAUCUACUCUGUCGUGGGGGAUAACGUAGGGAAACUUACGCUAAUACCGCAUACGACCUACGGGUGAAAGCAGGGGAUCUUCGGACCUUGCGCGAUUGAAUGAGCCGAUGUCGGAUUAGCUAGUUGGCGGGGUAAAGGCCCACCAAGGCGACGAUCCGUAGCUGGUCUGAGAGGAUGAUCAGCCACACUGGAACUGAGACACGGUCCAGACUCCUACGGGAGGCAGCAGUGGGGAAUAUUGGACAAUGGGCGCAAGCCUGAUCCAGCCAUACCGCGUGGGUGAAGAAGGCCUUCGGGUUGUAAAGCCCUUUUGUUGGGAAAGAAAUCCAGCUGGCUAAUACCCGGUUGGGAUGACAGUACCCAAAGAAUAAGCACCGGCUAACUUCGUGCCAGCCGCCGCGGUAA